RNAcentral lists this ribosomal RNA (255 nucleotides) under uncultured bacterium. Its description in RNAcentral is "partial 16S ribosomal RNA". It matches the Rfam family "Bacterial small subunit ribosomal RNA", at positions 524 to 777 of the family's 1533-position model. The record is from RNAcentral.
UACGAAGGGGGCUAGCGUUGUUCGGAAUUACUGGGCGUAAAGCGCACGUAGGCGGAUAUUUAAGUCAGGGGUGAAAUUCCCAGAGCUCAACUCUGGAACUGCCUUUGAUACUGGGUAUCUCGAGUAUGGAAGAGGUGAGUGGAAUUCCGAGUGUAGAGGUGAAAUUCGUAGAUAUUCGGAGGAACACCAGUGGCGAAGGCGCUCACUGGUCCAUUACUGACGCUGAGGUGCGAAAGGCGUGGGGAGCGAACAGGA